GGAGAGGUGACAGAGUGGUUGAUCGUGCGAACCUGGAACGUUCGUGAAGGUGUAAGCCUUCCGGGGGUUCGAAUCCCCCCCUCUCCG
This 87-nucleotide transfer RNA is filed under the name Nephroselmis olivacea. Its description in RNAcentral is "tRNA-Ser". It matches the Rfam family "tRNA". From Rfam's summary of the family: Transfer RNA (tRNA) molecules are approximately 80 nucleotides in length. Their secondary structure includes four short double-helical elements and three loops (D, anti-codon, and T loops). Lineage: Eukaryota; Viridiplantae; Chlorophyta; Nephroselmidophyceae; Nephroselmidales; Nephroselmidaceae. The record is from RNAcentral.